Molecule: long non-coding RNA, 802 nt
Organism: Orbicella faveolata
Lineage: Eukaryota; Metazoa; Cnidaria; Anthozoa; Scleractinia; Merulinidae
Source: RefSeq, a predicted model, not a curated record
AGAUAGUAAAAAUUAUUUGAUAUAAUAAGAACAUCGCCUCUAUGGUUGUCCUCUGAUAAAUCAAAGCACCAGGAACAAGUCAGAAAUAAUUAUAACCGUCUCCAAAUUGUGCUAAUAUUUUAAAAUUGUUAUUAAUUAAAGGUGCUGUUUUAUUUCAGCUUCCUCAAAUGAGAAGGAGGCAAGAGGUCUGUUGAAAUCUGCUGUGGAAAGGCUUAUUUCAAGAGAUGACAUAGUUAUUCUAGACUCUCUGAACUAUAUAAAAGGAUAUAGAUAUGAGUUAUACUGUGUUGCAAAGGCACAUAAGACCACACAUUGCAUUGUAAGUAAGGAAGUAAAAUCAAACUCUUCUCUGAUAAAAAUAUGGAAGGAAAAAAUUAUGUAAGAAUUCACAAAAUCCAGACGGACAUAAUUUUUAACCCUGUGGAUUCCAAAUUGAGAGCUUAUGUAUAAAACUGGAAAUUUUAUAAUUUCUAUGUGUUUUUGUAUAAGUUUCACAUUCAGAAAAACUUACCAAAAAACGGUUUCAUUCACAAGUAAAUUUGAAUUUGCAUGUUGCUUCAAGAAACUGCCAAUCAGUAUUAGGCCCAGUCCAAACACCGCUCCACUUAUUUGCCGAACCAAACUUGAUUAAGUUCGACUUUAGAGCGACUUUGGAGUGAUGGCUGGUUCAGACAGCAUACUUGGGUCGAACUUAAUUUGGGAAGCCAGUGGUAACAAUUUUCAACGAGAAAAUAUGCAUUCUGAAUAUUCAAGAACUCUGUCCAAAUAGAAAAGCUGUGACUAACAUUUCGCUGUUAUAGCA